This is a non-coding RNA of Rhinichthys klamathensis goyatoka, 717 nucleotides long. NCBI's taxonomy places the organism in Eukaryota, Metazoa, Chordata, Actinopteri, Cypriniformes, Leuciscidae. The record is from the annotation of a RefSeq genome assembly.
ACGUUAAUUUUGACUCUGUUCUCACUUCAGUGAUUGUGUUUUGUGUCUGUUACUGAGUGACUGUCUUCAGGGAAAUGAUGUGGAGUGUGUUUGCAUAUUGAUCAGAUCUUCAGUGUGUGAGAGUGUUUAUAGUGCUGUGAGUUUAACACUUCAUCACUGACACACACAACAAUCUUCAUCAACAUGACCUUCAUCAUCAUCUUCAUCUGGACACUUUUAUACUGCUUUAUACAAGGAUGUAGAGCUCAGAUCACAGUGACUCAGACUCCUGUAAAUCCUGCCAAACCAGGAGAAACUGUAGAGAUGAGCUGUAAACUCAGUAGAGAUGCGCCAGCCUGCAGCUCAGCACCCUGUGUGUCCUGGUACUUACAGAAACCUGGAGAAGCUCCUAAACUCCUGAUUUAUUAUACUAACACCCGUCAGUCAGGAACUCCAUCUAGAUUCAGUGGCAGUGGAUCUAACAGUGAUUUCACUCUGAGCAUCAGUGGAGUCCAGACUGAAGAUGCUGGACAUUAUUACUGUCAGAGUUAUCACAGUGGUGAUGUGUUCACACAGUGAUAAAGAGUCGUACAAAAACCUCCGUCAGUCAGAGUCACAGUGACUGAACUGAAACUGCAGCUGCUCAAACACUUUCUCACACACACACACACACACACACACACACACACACACACACACACACACACACACACACACACACACACACACACACACACA